Pseudonaja textilis is the source of this 758-nucleotide non-coding RNA. Lineage: Eukaryota; Metazoa; Chordata; Lepidosauria; Squamata; Elapidae. The record is from RefSeq and is a predicted model, not a curated record.
UGUGUGUGUGUGGGUGUCUUGGAACUUGGGAAAAUUCCCAGCAAUGAAGGCAGCUGCUGAUGUCAGCUCAACAAGGUAGGCCAGCACAGAAACUAUCCUCGCAGGAAGACUUUAGCCUAAGCCAGGGCUGUCAAACUCACAGCCUGCGGGCUGGAUGCAUCAGCACUGGCCACGCUCCCUUUAGUGAAGGGGGAAAAGUCGCAAUAUAUCACAUGAUGAUGCAGUAAUGACAUGAGUUUGACACCCCUGGCCUAAGCCAAUCUAGUAUAAUCCUAGCUUUCCUUUGGAAUCAGUUUCCUGAGCUGGUCUGUCUCCUAUAGCUGACAUCAAUCUUGGAAGUCUGCUAAUGUUUUACUUUUCUACUCUCAUACACCACCAAUAUGUCAGGGAGGAGCCAGUCUGAGCAUCUUCCCAAUACUAUGUUCAUUCUCAGACCUUAAGGAAGUCCCCCCCACCCUUUUGGGCACCAGGGACCGGUUCCGUGGAGGUAGAUUUUCCACGGCUGGAGGGGGUGUGGUUUUGUGUGCUGCCUGCAUCCUGCGUAUGCGGCUUUGCUUGUUUGCAUAGCCUGGUUUCUGGCAUGGCACGGCCUGGUGCCGGUUCACGGAAUGGGGGUUGGGACCCCUGCCUUAAAGGAAUACUGCAAAUUAUUUCCAUGCUUUUCUAACCUGGGGUGUGACAUUCAGCAAUAUCCAGAGAGCAGCUUCCUGUAGUCAAUUUUUAUUCGGACUGACUGCGGCUUGCCAGAAUUCUCAGAU